This 851-nucleotide ribosomal RNA is filed under the name Xanthoparmelia tinctina. RNAcentral describes it as "eukaryotic LSU rRNA". It matches the Rfam family "Eukaryotic large subunit ribosomal RNA", at positions 71 to 937 of the family's 3401-position model. The record is from RNAcentral. Lineage: Eukaryota; Fungi; Ascomycota; Lecanoromycetes; Lecanorales; Parmeliaceae.
GGGAUUGCCUCAGUAACGGCGAGUGAAGCGGCAACAGCUCAAAUUUGAAAUCUGGCCCUUUCGGGGUCCGAAUUGUAAUUUGUAGAGAGUGCUUCGGGCGAGGCCUCGGUCUAAGUCCAUUGGAACAUGGUGUCAUAGAGGGUGAGAAUCCCGUAUGCGACCGUGGCUCGAGCCCAUGUGAAGCCUCUUCGACGAGUCGAGUUGUUUGGGAAUGCAGCUCAAAAUGGGUGGUAAAUUUCAUCUAAAGCUAAAUAAUGGCUGGAGACCGAUAGCGCACAAGUAGAGUGAUCGAAAGAUGAAAAGCACUUUGGAAAGAGAGUCAAACAGUACGUGAAAUUGUUGAAAGGGAAGCGCUUGCAACCAGACCUGCCCGUAGGCGAUCAGCCGCUGUUCUCAGCGGUGUACUCGCUCUGCGAUCAGGCCAGCAUCGGUUUCGGCGGUCGGAUAAAGGCCUUGGGAAUGUAGCUUCCUUUCGGGGGAGUCUUAUAGCCCUCGGUGCAAUGCGGCCAGCCGGGACCGAGGACCGCGCUUCGGCUAGGAUGCUGGCGUAAUGGUUGUAAGCGACCCGUCUUGAAACACGGACCAAGGAGUCUAACAUCUAUGCGAGUGUUUGGGUGUCAAACCCAUGCGCGGAAUGAAAGUGAACGGAGGUGAGAACCCUUAAGGGCGCAUCAUCGACCGAUCCAGAUGUCUUCGGAUGGAUUUGAGUAUGAGCAUAGCUGUUGGGACCCGAAAGAUGGUGAACUAUGCCUGAAUAGGGUGAAGCCAGAGGAAACUCUGGUGGAGGCUCGCAGCGGUUCUGACGUGCAAAUCGAUCGUCAAAUUUGGGUAUAGGGGCGAAAGACUAAUCG